CCACGGUCUAGACAGGUUUUGUAUCAGGCCCUAUUUAAAAUUAGGCCUGAACUUCAGGUUAAGUUAGCAUGUUCUCAUAGGUUGAUAUAUAAUUAACUAAGAUUUCCGAAUUAUACGCCACGCCUCCAAAAAUCUUCUUAUGCUAGGAGCGGUCAUCUCAUUGGACGAUUCUAAAUGUAAUUGACGUUUGAGCAAGAAUACUGGCAAAGGAUUGGAUAACUUUGAUCUCUGACGUCACUUUCCUG
Molecule: non-coding RNA, 245 nt
Organism: Paramuricea clavata
Lineage: Eukaryota; Metazoa; Cnidaria; Anthozoa; Malacalcyonacea; Plexauridae
Source: the annotation of a GenBank genome assembly